GGGUUGUGAGGUUAAGCGACUAAGCGUACACGGUGGAUGCCCUGGCAGUCAGAGGCGAUGAAGGACGUGCUAAUCUGCGAUAAGCGUCGGUAAGGUGAUAUGAACCGUUAUAACCGGCGAUUUCCGAAUGGGGAAACCCAGUGUGUUUCGACACACUAUCAUUAACUGAAUCCAUAGGUUAAUGAGGCGAACCGGGGGAACUGAAACAUCUAAGUACCCCGAGGAAAAGAAAUCAACCGAGAUUCCCCCAGUAGCGGCGAGCGAACGGGGAGCAGCCCAGAGCCUGAAUCAGUGUGUGUGUUAGUGGAAGCGUCUGGAAAGGCGCGCGAUACAGGGUGACAGCCCCGUACACAAAAAUGCACAUGCUGUGAGCUCGAUGAGUAGGGCGGGACACGUGGUAUCCUGUCUGAAUAUGGGGGGACCAUCCUCCAAGGCUAAAUACUCCUGACUGACCGAUAGUGAACCAGUACCGUGAGGGAAAGGCGAAAAGAACCCCGGCGAGGGGAGUGAAAAAGAACCUGAAACCGUGUACGUACAAGCAGUGGGAGCACGCUUAGGCGUGUGACUGCGUACCUUUUGUAUAAUGGGUCAGCGACUUAUAUUCUGUAGCAAGGUUAACCGAAUAGGGGAGCCGAAGGGAAACCGAGUCUUAACUGGGCGUUAAGUUGCAGGGUAUAGACCCGAAACCCGGUGAUCUAGCCAUGGGCAGGUUGAAGGUUGGGUAACACUAACUGGAGGACCGAACCGACUAAUGUUGAAAAAUUAGCGGAUGACUUGUGGCUGGGGGUGAAAGGCCAAUCAAACCGGGAGAUAGCUGGUUCUCCCCGAAAGCUAUUUAGGUAGCGCCUCGUGAAUUCAUCUCCGGGGGUAGAGCACUGUUUCGGCAAGGGGGUCAUCCCGACUUACCAACCCGAUGCAAACUGCGAAUACCGGAGAAUGUUAUCACGGGAGACACACGGCGGGUGCUAACGUCCGUCGUGAAGAGGGAAACAACCCAGACCGCCAGCUAAGGUCCCAAAGUCAUGGUUAAGUGGGAAACGAUGUGGGAAGGCCCAGACAGCCAGGAUGUUGGCUUAGAAGCAGCCAUCAUUUAAAGAAAGCGUAAUAGCUCACUGGUCGAGUCGGCCUGCGCGGAAGAUGUAACGGGGCUAAACCAUGCACCGAAGCUGCGGCAGCGACGCUGAUGCGUUGUUGGGUAGGGGAGCGUUCUGUAAGCCUGCGAAGGUGUGCUGUGAGGCAUGCUGGAGGUAUCAGAAGUGCGAAUGCUGACAUAAGUAACGAUAAAGCGGGUGAAAAGCCCGCUCGCCGGAAGACCAAGGGUUCCUGUCCAACGUUAAUCGGGGCAGGGUGAGUCGACCCCUAAGGCGAGGCCGAAAGGCGUAGUCGAUGGGAAACAGGUUAAUAUUCCUGUACUUGGUGUUACUGCGAAGGGGGGACGGAGAAGGCUAUGUUGGCCGGGCGACGGUUGUCCCGGUUUAAGCGUGUAGGCUGGUUUUCCAGGCAAAUCCGGAAAAUCAAGGCUGAGGCGUGAUGACGAGGCACUACGGUGCUGAAGCAACAAAUGCCCUGCUUCCAGGAAAAGCCUCUAAGCAUCAGGUAACAUCAAAUCGUACCCCAAACCGACACAGGUGGUCAGGUAGAGAAUACCAAGGCGCUUGAGAGAACUCGGGUGAAGGAACUAGGCAAAAUGGUGCCGUAACUUCGGGAGAAGGCACGCUGAUAUGUAGGUGAAGUCCCUUGCGGAUGGAGCUGAAAUCAGUCGAAGAUACCAGCUGGCUGCAACUGUUUAUUAAAAACACAGCACUGUGCAAACACGAAAGUGGACGUAUACGGUGUGACGCCUGCCCGGUGCCGGAAGGUUAAUUGAUGGGGUCAGCGCAAGCGAAGCUCUUGAUCGAAGCCCCGGUAAACGGCGGCCGUAACUAUAACGGUCCUAAGGUAGCGAAAUUCCUUGUCGGGUAAGUUCCGACCUGCACGAAUGGCGUAAUGAUGGCCAGGCUGUCUCCACCCGAGACUCAGUGAAAUUGAACUCGCUGUGAAGAUGCAGUGUACCCGCGGCAAGACGGAAAGACCCCGUGAACCUUUACUAUAGCUUGACACUGAACAUUGAGCCUUGAUGUGUAGGAUAGGUGGGAGGCUUAGAAGUGUGGACGCCAGUCUGCAUGGAGCCGACCUUGAAAUACCACCCUUUAAUGUUUGAUGUUCUAACGUUGACCCGUAAUCCGGGUUGCGGACAGUGUCUGGUGGGUAGUUUGACUGGGGCGGUCUCCUCCUAAAGAGUAACGGAGGAGCACGAAGGUUGGCUAAUCCUGGUCGGACAUCAGGAGGUUAGUGCAAUGGCAUAAGCCAGCUUGACUGCGAGCGUGACGGCGCGAGCAGGUGCGAAAGCAGGUCAUAGUGAUCCGGUGGUUCUGAAUGGAAGGGCCAUCGCUCAACGGAUAAAAGGUACUCCGGGGAUAACAGGCUGAUACCGCCCAAGAGUUCAUAUCGACGGCGGUGUUUGGCACCUCGAUGUCGGCUCAUCACAUCCUGGGGCUGAAGUAGGUCCCAAGGGUAUGGCUGUUCGCCAUUUAAAGUGGUACGCGAGCUGGGUUUAGAACGUCGUGAGACAGUUCGGUCCCUAUCUGCCGUGGGCGCUGGAGAACUGAGGGGGGCUGCUCCUAGUACGAGAGGACCGGAGUGGACGCAUCACUGGUGUUCGGGUUGUCAUGCCAAUGGCACUGCCCGGUAGCUAAAUGCGGAAGAGAUAAGUGCUGAAAGCAUCUAAGCACGAAACUUGCCCCGAGAUGAGUUCUCCCUGACCCUUUAAGGGUCCUGAAGGAACGUUGAAGACGACGACGUUGAUAGGCCGGGUGUGUAAGCGCAGCGAUGCGUUGAGCUAACCGGUACUAAUGAACCGUGAGGCUUAACCUUACAACGCCGAAGCUGUU
Molecule: ribosomal RNA, 2930 nt
Filed under: Escherichia coli
Lineage: Bacteria; Pseudomonadati; Pseudomonadota; Gammaproteobacteria; Enterobacterales; Enterobacteriaceae
Description: 23S ribosomal RNA
Rfam family: Bacterial large subunit ribosomal RNA
Source: RNAcentral